GGGCCGUUAGCUCAUCCGGUAGAGCGCUACUAUGGCAUAGUAGAGGUGAGGAGUUCGAGUCUCCUACGGUCCACCA
This 76-nucleotide transfer RNA is filed under the name bacterium. RNAcentral describes it as "tRNA-Ala". It matches the Rfam family "tRNA". Rfam says of the family: Transfer RNA (tRNA) molecules are approximately 80 nucleotides in length. The record is from RNAcentral.